RNAcentral lists this ribosomal RNA (473 nucleotides) under uncultured bacterium. RNAcentral describes it as "bacterial SSU rRNA". It matches the Rfam family "Bacterial small subunit ribosomal RNA", at positions 335 to 800 of the family's 1533-position model. The record is from RNAcentral.
ACUCCUACGGGAGGCAGCAGUGGGGAAUAUUGCACAAUGGGCGCAAGCCUGAUGCAGCCAUGCCGCGUGUAUGAAGAAGGCCUUCGGUUGUAAAGUACUUUCAGCAGUGAGGAAGGUGGGUAUGUUAAUAGCAUAUUCAUUUGACGUUUAGCUGCAGAAGAAGCACCGGCUAACUCCGUGCCAGCAGCCGCGGUAAUACGGAGGGUGCGAGCGUUAAUCGGAAUUACUGGGCGUAAAGCGCAUGCAGGUGGUUUGUUAAGUCAGAUGUGAAAGCCCGGGGCUCAACCUCGGAAUUGCAUUUGAAACUGACAAACUAGAGUACUGUAGAGGGGGUAGAAUUUCAGGUGUAGCGGUGAAAUGCGUAGAGAUCUGAAGGAAUACCGGUGGCGAAGGCGGCCCCCUGGACAGAUACUGACACUCAGAUGCGAAAGCGUGGGGAGCAAACAGGAUUAGAUACCCUGGUAGCACAGAGC